ACUCCUACGGGAGGCAGCAGUGGGAAUAUUGGACAAUGGGGGCAACCCUGAUCCAGCGAUGCCGCGUGUGUGAAGAAGGCCUGAGGGUUGUAAAGCACUUUCAGUGGGGAGGAAAGCUCCAUGGUGAAUAGCCUUGGAGUUUGACGUUACCCACCAUAAACAGCACCGGCUAACUCCGUGCCAGCAGCCGCGGUAAUACGGGGGUGGC
This 208-nucleotide ribosomal RNA is filed under the name uncultured bacterium. RNAcentral describes it as "partial 16S ribosomal RNA". It matches the Rfam family "Bacterial small subunit ribosomal RNA", at positions 335 to 535 of the family's 1533-position model. The record is from RNAcentral.